Molecule: small nucleolar RNA, 88 nt
Filed under: Sugiyamaella lignohabitans
Lineage: Eukaryota; Fungi; Ascomycota; Dipodascomycetes; Dipodascales; Trichomonascaceae
Source: RNAcentral
UAAUAUGAUGUAAAACCUAAUCUUUUUUGAAUUUCUUCACCUGAAACUUCGUGUGGAUCAAAAUUAUCAGAGCUUUUUAACCCUGAUU